Molecule: ribosomal RNA, 776 nt
Filed under: uncultured Neocallimastigales
Lineage: Eukaryota; Fungi; Neocallimastigomycota; Neocallimastigomycetes; Neocallimastigales
Description: partial large subunit ribosomal RNA
Rfam family: Eukaryotic large subunit ribosomal RNA
Source: RNAcentral
UGUAGUCUCGCACAGAUGCAUAUCAAUAAGCGGAGGAAAAGAAACUAACAAGGAUUCCCCUAGUAACGGCGAGUGAAGCGGGAAGAGCUCAAAUUUGAAAUCUUAAAGGGUUUCCCUUUACGAAUUGUAGUUUAAAGAAGUGUUUUCUGUUGAGGUUUUGGUAAAAGUUCUUUGGAAUAGGACAUCAUAGAGGGUGAGAAUCCCGUAUUUGACCUUUACUUUCAACUUUGUGAUACACUUUCAAAGAGUCGGAUUGUUUGGGAAUGCAGUCCAAAAUGGGUGGUAAAUUUCAUCUAAAGCUAAAUAUUGGCGAGAGACCGAUAGCGAACAAGUACCGUGAGGGAAAGAUGAAAAGAACUUUGAAAAGAGAGUUAAACAGUACGUGAAAUUGUCAAAAGGGAAGCGUUUGACACCAGUGUUGUUUUUCUGAAAAUCAAUUAAAGAACUGUUUAUGCUAAGCUGUUUAGACUUUAUCAGCUAAUCUGUUUAGUUUUGAGCUUUUCUUUAAUGCACUUUUCAGUUAACAAGUCAACAUCAAUUUCUUUUGCUGUAAAAAAGCUUGAGGAAGGUGGCUUGAGAUUCGUCUUAAGUGUUUAUAGCCUCUUGCCUAUGCAGUCGGAGAGAUUGAGGUCUGCAGCGUAGAUCCUUCGGGGCUAAAUGCAUUUGUGCUAAGUUAUAGCAUUUUAUAGACAACUUGUUGACUAUGAUUUGUCUUGUAGCUUACUCGCUUAUGUUAUUUUACCUACGCUUAGGAUGUUGAAGACUCUACAGAGAUA